Molecule: ribosomal RNA, 250 nt
Filed under: uncultured prokaryote
Description: partial 16S ribosomal RNA
Rfam family: Bacterial small subunit ribosomal RNA
Source: RNAcentral
UACGUAGGGGGCAAGCGUUAUCCGGAUUUACUGGGUGUAAAGGGUGCGUAGACGGUUCGGCAAGUCUGAAGUGAAAUGCAUGGGCUCAACUCAUGAACUGCUUUGGAAACUGUCGGACUAGAGUACAGGAGGGGUAAGCGGAAUUCCUGGUGUAGCGGUGAAAUGCUUAGAUAUCAGGAGGAACACCGGCGGCGAAGGCGGCUUACUGGACUGUAACUGACGUUGAGGCACGAAAGCGUGGGGAGCAAAC